ACACCGAGAGUGNUUAGAAUACCGGCCUGUCACGCCGGGGGUCGCGGGUUCGAGUCCCGUCCGCUGCGCCA
Molecule: transfer RNA, 71 nt
Filed under: Pseudomonas syringae pv. actinidiae ICMP 19097
Lineage: Bacteria; Pseudomonadati; Pseudomonadota; Gammaproteobacteria; Pseudomonadales; Pseudomonadaceae
Description: tRNA-OTHER
Source: RNAcentral